UACGUAGGGGGCAAGCGUUGUCCGGAUUUAUUGGGCGUAAAGAGCGUGUAGGCGGCCUUACAGGUCAGCUGUGAAAACUCGAGGCUCAACCUCGAGACGUCGGUUGAAACCGUAAGGCUAGAGUCCGGAAGAGGAGAGUGGAAUUCCCGGUGUAGCGGUGAAAUGCGCAGAUAUCGGGAAGAACACCCGUGGCGAAGGCAGCUCGCUGGGACGGUACUGACGCUAAGGCGCGAAAGCGUGGGGAGCGAACAGG
Molecule: ribosomal RNA, 253 nt
Filed under: uncultured bacterium
Lineage: Bacteria
Description: partial 16S ribosomal RNA
Rfam family: Bacterial small subunit ribosomal RNA
Source: RNAcentral